This 301-nucleotide ribosomal RNA is filed under the name uncultured bacterium. RNAcentral describes it as "partial 16S ribosomal RNA". It matches the Rfam family "Bacterial small subunit ribosomal RNA", at positions 509 to 809 of the family's 1533-position model. The record is from RNAcentral.
CAGCAGCCGCGGGAAUACGGAGGGAGCUAGCGUUGUUCGGAAUUACUGGGCGUAAAGCGCACGUAGGCGGUUAUUCAAGUCAGAGGUGAAAGCCCGGGGCUCAACCCCGGAACUGCCUUUGAAACUAGAUGACUGGAAUCUUGGAGAGGUCAGUGGAAUUCCGAGUGUAGAGGUGAAAUUCGUAGAUAUUCGGAAGAACACCAGUGGCGAAGGCGACUGACUGGACAAGUAUUGACGCUGAGGUGCGAAAGCGUGGGGAGCAAACAGGAUUAGAGACCCCCGUAGUCCCUGUCUCUUAUAA